RNAcentral lists this long non-coding RNA (250 nucleotides) under Ananas comosus (pineapple). RNAcentral describes it as "long non-coding RNA (ACOM_LNC042399)". Lineage: Eukaryota; Viridiplantae; Streptophyta; Magnoliopsida; Poales; Bromeliaceae. The record is from RNAcentral.
CGGUAAACCUGUACCUACCACUGAAAACAGAGUGGGGUGAGAACUAUCUUCCAUAGUUCCGAGUGGGCUCGGCCGCCUACUCCACCGGUCUCCCCACUAGGUCCAAGUGGGCACAAGUAACAACAGAUAGAUAGAUAGAUAGAUAUCUGAAAGCUGUAAGGGCAUAAAGGAAAACUAUGCUACUAUGCCCAUAAUUAUGUAUAAUGAAUGCACGCGUCAUAUAGUAAAGGUUUACUAUCAUGCUAACAAA